GAUGAACGCUGGCGGCGUGCCUAAUACAUGCAAGUCGAGCGAACAGACGAGGAGCUUGCUCCUCUGACGUUAGCGGCGGACGGGUGAGUAACACGUGGAUAACCUACCUAUAAGACUGGGAUAACUUCGGGAAACCGGAGCUAAUACCGGAUAAUAUAUUGAACCGCAUGGUUCAAUAGUGAAAGACGGUUUUGCUGUCACUUAUAGAUGGAUCCGCGCCGCAUUAGCUAGUUGGUAAGGUAACGGCUUACCAAGGCAACGAUGCGUAGCCGACCUGAGAGGGGGAUCGGCCACACUGGAACUGAGACACGGUCCAGACUCCUACGGGAGGCAGCAGUAGGGAAUCUUCCGCAAUGGGCGAAAGCCUGACGGAGCAACGCCGCGUGGGUGAUGAAGGUCUUCGGAUCGUAAAACUCUGUUAUUAGGGAAGAACAAAUGUGUAAGUAACUAUGCACGUCUUGACGGUACCUAAUCAGAAAGCCACGGCUAACUACGUG
Molecule: ribosomal RNA, 497 nt
Filed under: uncultured bacterium
Lineage: Bacteria
Description: partial 16S ribosomal RNA
Rfam family: Bacterial small subunit ribosomal RNA
Source: RNAcentral